UAGCGGGCCGCGAAUUCGCCCUUCGGUAAUUCCAGCUCCAAUAGCGUAUAUUAAAGUUGUUGCAGUUAAAAAGCUCGUAGUUGAACCUUGGGCCUGGCUGGCCGGUCCGCCUCACCGCGUGCACUGGUCCGGCCGGGCCUUUCCUUCUGGGGAGCCGCAUGCCCUUCACUGGGUGUGUCGGGGAACCAGGACUUUUACUUUGAAAAAAUUAGAGUGUUCAAAGCAGGCCUAUGCUCGAAUACAUUAGCAUGGAAUAAUAGAAUAGGACGUGUGGUUCUAUUUUGUUGGUUUCUAGGACCGCCGUAAUGAUUAAUAGGGAUAGUCGGGGGCAUCAGUAUUCAAUUGUCAGAGGUGAAAUUCUUGGAUUUAUUGAAGACUAACUACUGCGAAAGCAUUUGCCAAGGAUGUUUUCAUUAAUCAGUGAACGAAAGUUAGGGGAUCGAAGACGAUCAGAUACCGUCGUAGUCUUAACCAUAAACUAUGCCGACUAGGGAUCGGGCGAUGUUAUCUUUUUGACUCGCUCGGCACCUUACGAGAAAUCAAAGUUUUUGGGUUCUGG
Molecule: ribosomal RNA, 559 nt
Filed under: uncultured organism
Description: SSU rRNA
Rfam family: Eukaryotic small subunit ribosomal RNA
Source: RNAcentral